Molecule: non-coding RNA, 3013 nt
Organism: Cricetulus griseus (Chinese hamster)
Lineage: Eukaryota; Metazoa; Chordata; Mammalia; Rodentia; Cricetidae
Source: RefSeq, a predicted model, not a curated record
UGGGAGGGAGAGGAAACUGGGAUUGACAUGUAAAACAAUCUUGUUUCUUAUUCAAAUAAAAAAUGGAGGAAAAAGUAUAAAAGAAAAAAGUGAACUUUCAUAUGCUUAAUUAUUGAAGUGAAAGCUUUUAGUUUGCACCAUUAAAUAUAUUUAUUGAGGAUUAUGGAGUAGAUAAACACAUUAUUUUAUUCUUGUGUAAUAGAUUGACUUUUGAAAACUAGUCAUUUAAAAAGUGCUUGUGAGAAAAACUGAUAAUUGCAAAUACAAGGUUUAUAGCGAAAAAAAUCUAAAAAAUAAAUAAAAAAUAAAAACUAUUGCUGAUGUUCAAGCAUAUGCCAUAUUCCUUCUGUUCAAGUUAUGUUUUCAUUGUUGUGAUAAGAACUACGACCAAAAGCAACUUGGGGAGAAAAAGAUUUAUUUAUUUUUUUUUAUUAAAACUUAGUUUAUCAUGAAGGGAAGUCAGGGCAGGACCUCAAGGCUGGAAACUGGAGGCAGGAACUGAAACAGAGAUUAUGGAGGAUGCCUGCUUACUGGCUUGCUCCCCAUGGCAUGGCAUGCUCAACUUUCUUAUACCACACAGGAUCACCUGCCCUGGGUUGGCCCUGCCCACAAUUGGCUGGGUGCUUCCAAAUAAAUCACUAAUCAAGGGAAUACCCUGCAGACUUGCCUGCAGGUAGUCUGAUUGAGGCUUUUUCUCAGUUGAGGUUUCUAUUCCCAGAUAACUGACUAGCUUGUGUGGAGUUGACAAAAUACUAACCAGCACACCUGCUCUAUAAAAAGCUGGUAGUAGGUUCCUAUGAUCCCAGUGCUGUAGAGGUGGAGACAGAUUCCUGGGGCUCACUUGACAGCUAGCCGCAACAUUAGUGAACCCAAGGUCCCCAGUGAGAGAACCUGCCUUAAAAACCAGGUAGAUGACUCUUGAGGUUAGCAUCUAGCCACCACAUGCUUGUGUGCACACACUUGCACGCAAACAUGAAAGCAUACGCUAAUGACAACAGUGGCGUGUUUCGAUUUCUGUAGUGUUUUCUAAAGGAGUGAAAGAAUAAUAGAAUAUGACACAAACAACUCAAAAGAACAGCUAAAAGCAAGACAUAGGAAAACAACCAAUAGAAACAAAGAGGAAACGAGUUUGAUAGCCGAAGCAGCCAUCCCUACAUCGAGCACAUGUGAACUAAGUUUAAAGACCGUGUUAGUCUGGAUAAAGAACCAGACAGAAUGAUGCUACCAACACCAAUUUAAUGUAAGGGUACAGAAAAAAGGGUGAGGAAAGACCUACCAAACAAGCAAGAGCUGGACAGAAGCUGGAGUGUUCAGCACACAGGUAGACCUGGUAAGAAGCACAUAAGAACACACAGCAUGCUAGCUAACUGGGCUGCUUUGCAAGCACAGGGGAAUGCUGUCCUGUCUGGCCUCGAGCUGGUCAGAGGAGCCAGACUCAGUAUGUGGGAGAAGAGAGAGGGUGAGGCUGAAGGAGGAGCUAGUUUCCAAAACAAGCCAAUUGGUGUCAUGGUCCCUGCUCCCACUCACAGGGUGGUUCCCAGAAGUCAGUUUGGCUAUUUUUGGCAAAUCUCAUGAAGUGUUCUCUGAAGGUUUUAGUUUAGAAAAGGAUAUAGAGCAGUUGUUCUCAACCUUCCUAAUACUGCAACCCUUUAAACAGUUUCUCAUGUUGUGAUGAUCCCCAGCCAUAAAAUUAUUUUCAUUGCUAUUUUAUAACUGUAAUAUUGCCACUGUUGUCAACUGUAAUAUAAAUAUCUGAUGUGCAGGAUAUCUGAUAUGCUACCCCACAGGUUGAGAACCACUGGUAUAGAGGAUGAGAAGGAAUUCAUGCUUCUUGGGGCCUACUACGGAUUAAGCACUUAUGAGUUUGUAGGAAAAGAAAAGUUAAGUAUUAGAAAUGGCCAGGAACCGAAGAACAAAGCACAGUAAAAGGAGAGGAGGGGUUGUGAGACCCCAGAGCUUUUCCCUGGUGAAUCUGGUUCAUCACACUGGAAAGUUAGAGCACACUUGCUCUUGGGGACCCCGAUGGGAAGGAUGCUACCUUACCUUAGCACAAGAAAGCAUGUAAGAGAGGAAAUUCUUGACCUUGGUAAUAUGGUCUUGAUGUAAAACUCCAGGAAUGUUGACGACCAUGGUUGCUAGUUACACCUGUUUCUAUCGAGGUCUGAUGAGCCAGCCACCUUAGGUAAUGUGCAGAGUACCUUGCAACCGUGUUCAAUGAUAUAAACAAGUACUGUCUUCAGAAAUAGCGCCUUACCAUCAGAUUUUGGAAAGCCACCAACAGCCUUGACAAUAAUCUGUGAUUUUUGUCAGGGAGGUUCCAUGAGCCACCUAUGGCUAAUAACUCUACAAGAUGUAACUUUCCCGGCACUGAAGGUUUUGCAUGGUGGUAUAGUAUGUCUAAUUGGAGCAUCGUCUCUCCUAUUAUUUGGUGACUUCAUUUAGAUUUCUUUCAUAAGUGAAUAUAUUUUAGGAAGUUUCUAUAGUGGUAGAUCUUCUUAUGUGUAGGGACUGGUGUUGGCUCAGGUCCCCGAAGACCCUGUUCUCAGCACAAAGGAGAUUUAUUUGCACCAGAGGGAUGGGGGCAGAGAAUAAGAGACAAAGACAGGAGCUAGAGGAUAAGGGAGAGUGGGUAGGAAACAAGGGAGAGGGAAAGGGGUAUUUGUCCCAGAGAGGCAUGACAAAGGAUGGCCUCUACACAGAGAGGAACAGACAUGGCCCAUCGGCAAGUAGUGGUUUAUAUAGGUAAAAGGAGAAACCCUGCAUUAAGAUGAGGUGUUUAAUUUUAAUUGGACAUGUUAAUGAGGUGAGCCAAAAGAGGUUUUUUGAUUGCUGGACUUCAAUACUUUGAUCACUAGACCUUGAUAGUCAGUCUAGGGAGUAACCUUUUUGGAUAGCUUUAGGAAUGUAAUCUAAGGGUUUUUAGUAAGGCUGAGGUAUUAGGGGAGAAGGGCAAGGAAGGCCUGCCAGAGCCAUGUUUGCCAUGCUUGGGCUGGCCAGAGUCCCCUCGAUAUUG